This 400-nucleotide ribosomal RNA is filed under the name Tarentola americana. Its description in RNAcentral is "partial 12S ribosomal RNA". It matches the Rfam family "Bacterial small subunit ribosomal RNA", at positions 786 to 1388 of the family's 1533-position model. The record is from RNAcentral. Lineage: Eukaryota; Metazoa; Chordata; Lepidosauria; Squamata; Phyllodactylidae.
CCCACUAUGCUCAGCCGUUAACACAGAUAGAAUACACACACCUCUAUUCGCCAGAGAAUUACAAGCGAAGCCUAGAAACUCAAAGGACUUGACGGUGUCCCAAACCAAACUAGAGGAGCCUGUCCUAUGAUCGAUACUCCACGCUACACCCCACCCCCCCUUGAAUCUCAGCCUGUAUACCGCCGUCUUCAGUUCGCCUUAUGAAAGACACACAGCGAACAAAACAGCCCACCGCUUUUACGACAGGUCAAGGUGCAGCUUAUGGGAGGGCAGCGAUGGGCUACAUUUUCUACCACAUAGAACACUACCAAACGCCACAUGCAAUAUAGGCCAAAUGGUGGAUUUAGCAGUAAGCUAGACAAGAUAUGUCUAACUGAAACCUGCUCUGGGACGCGUACAC